CCUACGGGAGGCAGCAGUGAGGAAUAUUGGUCAAUGGACGAGAGUCUGAACCAGCCAAGUAGCGUGAAGGAUGACUGCCCUAUGGGUUGUAAACUUCUUUUAUAUGGGAAUAAAACGUUCCACGUGUGGGAUUUUGUAUGUACCAUAUGAAUAAGGAUCGGCUAACUCCGUGCCAGCAGCCGCGGUAAUACGGAGGAUCCGAGAGUUAUCCGGAUUUAUUGGGUUUAAAGGGAGCGUAGGUGGGUUGUUAAGUCAGUUGUGAAAGUUUGCGGCUCAACCGUAAGAUUGCAGUUGAUACUGGCAGUCUUGAGUACAGUAGAGGUGAGCGGAAGUCGUGGUGUAGCGGUGAAAUGCUUAGAUAUCACGAAGAACUCCGAUGGCGAAGGCAGUUCACUGGACUGCAACUGACACUGAGGCUCGAAAGUGUGGGUAUCAAACAGGAUUAGAUACCCUUGUAGUC
Molecule: ribosomal RNA, 460 nt
Filed under: uncultured bacterium
Lineage: Bacteria
Description: partial 16S ribosomal RNA
Rfam family: Bacterial small subunit ribosomal RNA
Source: RNAcentral